AAGUCGUAACAAGGUUUCCGUAGGUGAACCUGCGGAAGGAUCAUUAUUACGAGAUCAAAAUCGUAACCCAAAAAACACAUUGUGCAUUUUGUACCUCCCGGUAGCAUUUGACCUUUGGAAAUGAAGGCUUCUUUGAUGUGCACUUUUGUAUGUCAAAGCACUUCCGAGCAGAUGAAGUGAAACCCACACUCGACUCGAUCGAGUGUGUGUUUGGUCUUUUGUCAAAUGUUUCAACUACCGGUUAUCUUAUCUGCUCAGUUUCUAAAUAACAAACCAUUAACCCCAUGUAACUAUUUUGAACUAAAUAACAUCUGCUUGGUUGGUUGGUGCUGUUUUGCUGCUCUUAUGCGGCACAACAACAUCAACUUCCAAGCUGAAUCAAAAACCGAACUUAAGAACAACUCUUAACAACGGAUAUCUUGGUUCUC
Molecule: unclassified non-coding RNA, 428 nt
Filed under: fungal sp.
Lineage: Eukaryota; Fungi
Description: partial internal transcribed spacer region
Rfam family: Eukaryotic small subunit ribosomal RNA (bases 1-46)
Source: RNAcentral